UCUGGCCCCAGGCCCGAGUUGUAAUUUGUAGAGGAUGCUUUUGGCGCGGCGCCUUCUGAGUUCCCUGGAACGGGACGCCAAAGAGGGUGAGAGCCCCGUAUAGUUGGACGCCUAGCCUCUGUAAAGCUCCUUCGACGAGUCGAGUAGUUUGGGAAUGCUGCUCUAAAUGGGAGGUAAAUUUCUUCUAAAGCUAAAUACCGGCUGGAGACCGAUAGCGCACAAGUAGAGUGAUCGAAAGAUGAAAAGCACUUUGAAAAGAGGGUUAAACAGCACGUGAAAUUGUUGAAAGGGAAGCGCUUGUGACCAGACUUGCGCCUUGCCAAUCAUCCGGCGUUCUCGCCGGUGCACUUGGCUUGGUUCAGGCCAGCAUCGGUUUUCCCAGGGGGAUAAAAGCGCCGGGAACGUAGCUCCCUCGGGAGUGUUAUAGCCCGGUGCACAAUACCUCUGGGGGGACCGAGGAACGCGCUCCGCAAGGAUGCUGGCGUAAUGGUCAUCAGCGACCCGUCUU
RNAcentral lists this ribosomal RNA (508 nucleotides) under Acrodictys liputii. RNAcentral's name for it is "eukaryotic LSU rRNA". It matches the Rfam family "Eukaryotic large subunit ribosomal RNA", at positions 121 to 655 of the family's 3401-position model. Lineage: Eukaryota; Fungi; Ascomycota; Sordariomycetes. The record is from RNAcentral.